UCCGAAGGGGGCUAGCGUUGCUCGGAAUUACUGGGCGUAAAGGGCGCGUAGGCGGAUGUUUAAGUCGGGGGUGAAAGCCCGGGGCUCAACCUCGGAAUUGCCUUCGAUACUGGACAUCUUGAGUACGGGAGAGGUGAGUGGAACUCCGAGUGUAGAGGUGAAAUUCGUAGAUAUUCGGAAGAACACCAGUGGCGAAGGCGACUCACUGGCCCGUUACUGACGCUGAGGCGCGAAAGCGUGGGGAGCAAACAGG
RNAcentral lists this ribosomal RNA (253 nucleotides) under uncultured bacterium. RNAcentral describes it as "partial 16S ribosomal RNA". It matches the Rfam family "Bacterial small subunit ribosomal RNA", at positions 524 to 776 of the family's 1533-position model. The record is from RNAcentral.